GAACGCUAGCUACAGGCUUAACACAUGCAAGUCGAGGGGCAGCAUGACGGAAGCUUGCUUCGUUGAUGGCGACCGGCGCACGGGUNAGUAACGCGUAUCCAACCUGCCUUGUCCAUCGGAUAACCCGUCGAAAGCGGACUAACACGAUAUGCAGUUCUCAGCAGGCAUCUAACGAGAACGAAAUGUGAAGGAGAAGGAUGGGGAUGCGUCUGAUUAGCUUGUUGGCGGGGUAACGGCCCACCAAGGCGACGAUCAGUAGGGGUUCUGAGAGGAAGGUCCCCCACAUUGGAACUGAGACACGGUCCAAACUCCUACGGGAGGCAGCAGUGAGGAAUAUUGGUCAAUGGACGAGAGUCUGAACCAGCCAAGUAGCGUGCAGGAUGACGGCCCUAUGGGUUGUAAACUGCUUUUAUAAGGGAAUAAAGUGAGCCUCGUGUGGCGUUUUGCAGGUACCGCAUGAAUAAGGACCGGCUAAUUCCGUG
RNAcentral lists this ribosomal RNA (482 nucleotides) under uncultured bacterium. RNAcentral's name for it is "bacterial SSU rRNA". It matches the Rfam family "Bacterial small subunit ribosomal RNA", at positions 31 to 507 of the family's 1533-position model. The record is from RNAcentral.